Non-coding RNA from Podarcis lilfordi (Lilford's wall lizard), 75 nucleotides. The record is from the annotation of a GenBank genome assembly. NCBI's taxonomy places the organism in Eukaryota, Metazoa, Chordata, Lepidosauria, Squamata, Lacertidae.
UGCUGGCAUAGCUCAGUCAGUAGAGCAUGAGGCUCUUAAUCUUAGCGUCAUGAGUUUGAGCCCCACAUUGGGCAA